GUAGGUGAACCUGCGGAAGGAUCAUUAACACUAAUCCAUCUCAACUCAACCAAGCCUUCAGUUGCUGCAGUUGUGCCUCGGUGCAGCUGCAACAACAAAGUAUAAAACUAAUCUAAACAAAGGAGCCUAACUAAGAACAACCACUAAACUAAAUUUUCAACGGUGGAUGUCUUGGUUCCCACAACGAUGAAGAACGCAGCGAAGUGCGAUAAGCAGUGCGAAUUGCAGAACCGUGAGUCAUCAGAUUUUUGAACGCAACUUGCGCCGUCUGGGGUAACUCAGCGGCACGCCUGGUCCAGUGUCUUGUUAUCUCAUCACCAAGAUCAUAAUGCGAGAGAUGCCCUUCUCUUGCCAAACAUGAAAGCACUCUGCAAUCUGCGAGCGACUUUCGGGUCGCACUCCAUGCAGCAGUCACAUUGCUCACAAUGUGAACUCAUGGGGAGUAGUUGUAGCGCAACGUCAGUUGUAAGUGCUUAGACUUUCCAACUUAGGAAUAGUAUCUGGGCUCAGGCGGGACCACCCGCUGAACUUAAGCAUAUCAGUA
This 544-nucleotide ribosomal RNA is filed under the name Spirostrombidium schizostomum. RNAcentral describes it as "eukaryotic LSU rRNA". The stretch from base 152 to 304 matches the Rfam family "5.8S ribosomal RNA". The record is from RNAcentral. Lineage: Eukaryota; Ciliophora; Spirotrichea; Strombidiidae.